Myotis brandtii (Brandt's bat) is the source of this 195-nucleotide non-coding RNA. The record is from Rfam. NCBI's taxonomy places the organism in Eukaryota, Metazoa, Chordata, Mammalia, Chiroptera, Vespertilionidae.
UUUAGAAACAGUAGGCAGACACAACAUUUUUUCUGUCGCAAGGCAGGAUUUCCAAUUCCUUUUUUUCACUCUUUUCUUGUCAUCUAAAGCUCCUUGUAAGCUAAGCUUAUCAAGAUUUCACCCAAUUACUUUUUCUCUAAGGCCUGGAAGAGUUAAGACCCUACACCAAGGUGUUCAUCUUAGAAGCUCACAAAC